Cephus cinctus (wheat stem sawfly) is the source of this 922-nucleotide long non-coding RNA. RefSeq lists it as uncharacterized. The transcript is spliced from 2 exons. NCBI's taxonomy places the organism in Eukaryota, Metazoa, Arthropoda, Insecta, Hymenoptera, Cephidae. The record is from RefSeq and is a predicted model, not a curated record.
AUUUGAAGGAAAGAUCGAAAAGCAGAAAUGUAAAAAUAAACUUGACUAAUCAGAUAAGCUGACGGGACGGUGUUGUGUAUAUAUGUCAGUGACAAGUUGACGCUGUCGGAAGUGACUUUAGGGAGAGUGACAAAGGGGGAAUUAAAACUCUGAUUGUACAUCGGCUUAAGGAUUUUGGAAAAUAAUAAAAUUAUUAUAAAGGUAAUGGUGAAAUCUCAGCACGGCUAUCGCAUGAAGCUCCAUACGAAAUGUGUCGUGUAGCAAAGUACAAGGGUGGGCUACGAGGGUGGAGUACAACCCUCGUAAUAUAAAGCAUUAUUGAUGCAGAUAUUUAUAGAAUAUAUAUCCGACGCCCGGCAUUAACAUUGCCGUUUUCCUCUGCCAUUUUACCGUUGCGACGCAUAACAUGUAUUCGCCAGGGAAUGACAAGUCGUGAAACUGGAUUUGACAACCCGUUAAUCCAUUAUCAAUUACACCCCUAACUAUGUUCUUGGGUAUACGAAUAAAUUAAAGGAAAGCGUACUGAUCAUUUCAAAGAAAAAAAAGAAUUUUCCAGAUUUCUAAAUUUAACGCAAUGAUAACCCUUAUGGCUUUAUGUUAUACAGAGCGAAUUUUUCACGUGACCUUUUGCUUGUAAAUGAAUCAGCCCUGUUGCAGCUGCAACUGCAAAUUCGUAUGGGAAGGCCAAGUGCACUGAUGAAGCUCAAGGCUGCGAGAGCCGUCGGCUAAUUGCCAACUAAUUUAAGGUAUCCAGUGUACGAAUUCGUCUGGUAACAACAGGAAGGACUACUUGAAUAUAAUGAGUCAUCGUAUAUUAAUUUUAUAUAUUUAGAUAUAUAUAUUUUAAUCCAACCCGUCUUCUUUGGGCCUAUGAAAUAUUUUGAGGUUAUAUUAUAUAAUAAAUUUUUUAUGUAUUGCUUAU